AGCGACAUGGCCGAGUGAUAAGGCGGGGGCUGCAAAUCCUUUUUCCCCAGUUCAAAUCUGGAUGUCGCCU
RNAcentral lists this transfer RNA (70 nucleotides) under Rhododendron molle. Its description in RNAcentral is "tRNA-Cys". It matches the Rfam family "tRNA". Rfam says of the family: Transfer RNA (tRNA) molecules are approximately 80 nucleotides in length. Their secondary structure includes four short double-helical elements and three loops (D, anti-codon, and T loops). The record is from RNAcentral. Lineage: Eukaryota; Viridiplantae; Streptophyta; Magnoliopsida; Ericales; Ericaceae.